CCUACGGGUGGCAGCAGUGAGGAAUAUUGGUCAAUGGACGAGAGCCUGAACCAGCCAAGUCGCGUGAAGGAAGACUGUACUAUGUGUUGUAAACCUCUUUUAUCAGGGAAUAAAGUGGUCCACGUGUGGCCUUAAGUGGGUACCUUAUGAAUAAGCAUCGGCUAACUCCGUGCCAGCAGCCGCGGUAAUACGGAGGAUGCGAGCGUUAUCCGGAUUUAUUGGGUUUAAAGGGGGCGCAGGGGGUGUGUAAAGUCAGCGGUAAAAUGUGGGGGCUCAACCGCGGAGUGCAGUUGAAACUGGCGUGCUUGAGUAGGGUAGAAGUAUGCGGAAGUCGUGGUGUAGCGGUGAAAUGCAUAGAUAUCACGAAGAACCCCGAUUGCGAAGGCAGCACACCGG
Molecule: ribosomal RNA, 396 nt
Filed under: uncultured bacterium
Lineage: Bacteria
Description: partial 16S ribosomal RNA
Rfam family: Bacterial small subunit ribosomal RNA
Source: RNAcentral